UACGUAGGGUGCGAGCGUUAAUCGGAAUUACUGGGCGUAAAGCGUGCGCAGGCGGUUUUGUAAACCAGAUGUGAAAUCCCCGGGCUUAACCUGGGAAUGGCAUUUGGGACUGCAAGGCUGGAGUGUGGCAGAGGAGACUGGAAUUCCUGGUGUAGCAGUGAAAUGCGUAGAUAUCAGGAGGAAUACCGAUGGCGAAGGCAGGUCUCUGGGCUGACACUGACGCUCAUGCACGAAAGCGUGGGGAGCAAACAGG
This 253-nucleotide ribosomal RNA is filed under the name uncultured bacterium. Its description in RNAcentral is "partial 16S ribosomal RNA". It matches the Rfam family "Bacterial small subunit ribosomal RNA", at positions 524 to 776 of the family's 1533-position model. The record is from RNAcentral.